This 434-nucleotide ribosomal RNA is filed under the name uncultured Blautia sp. RNAcentral describes it as "bacterial SSU rRNA". It matches the Rfam family "Bacterial small subunit ribosomal RNA", at positions 341 to 792 of the family's 1533-position model. The record is from RNAcentral. Lineage: Bacteria; Bacillati; Bacillota; Clostridia; Lachnospirales; Lachnospiraceae.
ACGGAAGGCAGCAGUGGGGAAUAUUGCACAAUGGGGGAAACCCUGAUGCAGCGACGCCGCGUGAAGGAAGAAGUAUCUCGGUAUGUAAACUUCUAUCAGCAGGGAAGAUAGUGACGGUACCUGACUAAGAAGCCCCGGCUAACUACGUGCCAGCAGCCGCGGUAAUACGUAGGGGGCAAGCGUUAUCCGGAUUUACUGGGUGUAAAGGGGGCGUAGACGGUGUGGCAAGUUUGAUGUGAAAGGCAUGGGCUCAACCUGUGGACUGCAUUGGAAACUGUCAUACUUGAGUGCCGGAGGGGUAAGCGGAAUUCCUAGUGUAGCGGUGAAAUGCGUAGAUAUUAGGAGGAACACCAGUGGCGAAGGCGGCUUACUGGACGGAAACUGACGUUGAGGCUCGAAAGCGUGGGGAGCAAACAGGAUUAGAUACCCUGGUA